AAUCUAGGAGGCAGGUGCUCACUUGUCCUCUUCCAUGGUUGGAAAAUACAGGGAGGAGGCCAUAGUGGCAACUGUCACCAUGAUU
This 85-nucleotide microRNA precursor is filed under the name Cercocebus atys (sooty mangabey). RNAcentral's name for it is "miRNA (ENSCATG00000011170.1)". It matches the Rfam family "mir-764 microRNA precursor family". The record is from Rfam by way of RNAcentral. Lineage: Eukaryota; Metazoa; Chordata; Mammalia; Primates; Cercopithecidae.